Molecule: ribosomal RNA, 1557 nt
Filed under: Triticum aestivum (bread wheat)
Lineage: Eukaryota; Viridiplantae; Streptophyta; Magnoliopsida; Poales; Poaceae
Description: partial small subunit ribosomal RNA
Source: RNAcentral
AUGAACACUGUCGCCGCCCUCGCCGGCGCUGCCGCCCUUUUCGUCUUCAUCACAUCACUACUCCGUCUACGCCACCCACUCCUCGGCGGCUCCAAGAACAAGAGCGCACAGCUGCCGCCGAGCCCCGUCGCCAUCCCCUUCCUCGGCCACCUCCACCUCCUCAAGAGGCCGUUCCACGCCGCGCUCUCCCGCCUCGCCGCGCGCCACGGCGCGGUCUUCUCCCUGCGCCUCGGGUCGCGCCCCGCCGUGGUCGUGUCCUCGGCUGCGAGCGCCAGGGAGUGCUUCACGGACCACGACGUCACCUUCGCCGAUCGCCCGCGGUUCCCCUCGCUGCAGCUGGUGUGCUUCGGCUGCACGACGCUCCCGACGUCCCGCUACGGCCCCUACUGGCGCAACCUCCGCCGCGUCGCCACGGUGCAGCUCCUCUCCGCGCACCGGGUGGGCUGCAUGACCGCGGACAUCGCCAGCGAGGUGCGCGCGAUGGCGCGGCGCCUGUCACGUGCCGCCGCGGCCGCCCCCGGCGGUGUCGCGCUGGUGGAGCUCAAACGGAGCCUAUUCGAGGUGUCCCUUAGCGCCUUGAUGGAGACCGUCGCGCAGACGAAGACGUCCCGCGCCGAGGGAGCCGAGGACACGGACAUGUCGCCGGAGGCACAGGAGUUCAAGGAGUCCCUGGACGAGAUCGUGCCGCUGCUCGGCGGGGCCAACAUGUGGGACUUCCUGCCGGUGCUACGGUGGUUCGAUGUGUUCGGCGUGAGGAACAAGAUCGUGGCUGCGGUUAGCAGGAGGGACGCGUUCCUGAGGCGGCUCAUCGACGCACAGCGGCGGAGGCUGGGCGACGGCGGCAUCGAGGGCGAGAAGAAGAGCAUGAUUGCCGUGCUGCUCGAUUUGCAAAAGACAGAGCCGGAGAUCUACACGAACAAAACGAUCAUGGCUCUGUGCAUGACCAUGUUCAGCGCGGGGACAGAGACCACGGCGACGACGGCGGAGUGGGCGAUGUCGCUGCUGCUCAACCACCCGAACGCCCUGACGAAAGCGCAGGCCGAGAUGGACGCGACCGUCGGAACCACCCGCCUGCUCUGCGCCGACGACCUGCCCCGCCUCGGCUACCUCCACUGCGUCAUCAGCGAGACCCUCCGGCUGUACCCGCCCGUCCCGGCGAUGAUCCCGCACGAGUCCUCCGCGGACUGCACGGUGGCGGGCUACCACGUCCCGAGCGGCACGACGCUGCUCGUGAACGCGUACGCCAUCCACAGGGACCCUGAGGCAUGGAAGCACCCGUUGGAGUUCAGGCCGGAGCGGUUCGAGGAGGGGAAGGCCGAGGGUCUGUUCAUGAUGCCGUUCGGGAUGGGGCGGCGCAAGUGCCCCGGCGAGGCCCUCGCGCUGCGGAUGCUGGGCUUGGUUCUGGGCACGCUGGUGCAGUGCUUCCAUUGGGACAGGGUUGGUGAUGCUGAGGUUGACAUGGGUGAAGGAGGAGGGCUGACGCUCCCCAAGGCGGUGCCGCUGCAGGCGAUGUGCCGACCCCGGGCAGCCAUGACACAUGUCCUGAGGGGACUGUGA